CUAACUGUUCUUGUUAACUGAUGUGUGUCA
RNAcentral lists this non-coding RNA (30 nucleotides) under Rattus norvegicus (Norway rat). Lineage: Eukaryota; Metazoa; Chordata; Mammalia; Rodentia; Muridae. The record is from RNAcentral.